UCAGUCGACUCCUACGGGGAGGCAGCAGUGGGGAAUAUUGCACAAUGGGGGAAACCCUGAUGCAGCCAUGCCGCGUGUGUGAAGAAGGCCUUCGGGUUGUAAAGCACUUUCAGUAGGGAGGAAGGUAGUGUAGUUAACACCUGCAUUAUUUGACGUUACCUACAGAAGAAGCACCGGCUAACUCCGUGCCAGCAGCCGCGGUAAUACGGAGGGUGCGAGCGUUAAUCGGAAUUACUGGGCGUAAAGCGCAUGCAGGCGGCCUGUUAAGUCAGAUGUGAAAGACCCGGGGCUUAACCUCGGAAUUGCAUUUGAAACUGGCAGGCUAGAGUCUUGUAGAGGGGGGUAGGAAUUUCAGGUGUAGCGGUGAAAAUGCGUAGAGAUCUGAAGGAAUACCAGUGGCGAAGGCGGCCCCCUGGACAAAGACUGACGCUCAGAUGCGAAAGCGUGGGGAACAAACAGGAUUAGAUACCCUGGUAG
RNAcentral lists this ribosomal RNA (477 nucleotides) under uncultured bacterium. RNAcentral's name for it is "bacterial SSU rRNA". It matches the Rfam family "Bacterial small subunit ribosomal RNA", at positions 328 to 793 of the family's 1533-position model. The record is from RNAcentral.